Molecule: long non-coding RNA, 111 nt
Organism: Sander lucioperca (pikeperch)
Lineage: Eukaryota; Metazoa; Chordata; Actinopteri; Perciformes; Percidae
Exons: 3
Source: RefSeq, a predicted model, not a curated record
UUUAGUGGUGCCUCUGGGCAGCUGCUGGGAGCUGCCUGCAUGAUCCGUCAUGCGCAUGCCCAAGAUGAUAAUCCUGUUUUAUGAGGAUUUACGACACUGCACGAAUCACGA